UUAGGAUUUGGUUAGGAUUUGAUUUAGGAUUUAGAGUUUAAUUAGGAUUUGGUUUAGGAUUUAGAGUUUAGAUUAGGAUUUGAUUUAGGGUUUAGGAUUUGAAUUAGGGUUUGGUUAGGAUUUGAUUUAGGGUUUAGGGAUUUAAGAUUUAGUUAGGAUUUGGUUUAGGAUUUGGUUGUGGUUUGGUUUAAGAUUUGUUUAAGGUCUGAUUUAGGGUUUAGGAUUUUAUUAGGAUUUAAGAUUCAAUUAGUUUUGGCCUAAAGUUUGAAUGAAGUUCAAUAGGAUUUUAACUAGAAUUAAAUUAAGAUUGAAUUGAGAUGUAGGAUUUUUUUUGUGAUCCUUCUAAUAUUUCUUUAAGAAUUCUUAUUAUUUGUUUGAAAUUUAUUUGAGGUUUUUUUUGAAUUUGAUUAAGCUUUCUUAGCAUUAUUAUGGUCUAAUUAGAGCAUUGUUAGUAUUCUAUUAGAAUUAAGAUUUUAUUAUUGAAAUUUUCAUUCUUCCUUCUAUAGCUUGGUGCCCAGAGCAUUCUCAAGCAAGACUUCACGUAUUACGACACCGUAAAGAUAAAAGCUUGGUCUUUACUACUCUUUCUUGAUCACUUUCUCCAAAUGUGGCUAUAAACACUUCUAGGAAUGAAAUCAAAUUAUAAAAGAGUCGUGAAUCCUUUUCCAUUAAAGAAGCAAACCAAGAGUGAUCACUUUUUGAUAGAAGUAUAUUUAUGAAUUCGACUUGAAUAAAUCUAUUAGGAUAUUGGAAAGAAUGCAAUCUUAGAUAGACCUUGAGUUGUUGUAGAAAUCCUUAAGAUUUUAAUCUUCUUCUAUCAAACUUCUCAAGCACACUAAUCCUUUUCCUUUUCAUACUUAUAGAAGCAAAACUCUUUAGAUUUGGUUGUGAGGUUAAUCUA
This 901-nucleotide long non-coding RNA is filed under the name Physcomitrium patens. RNAcentral describes it as "long non-coding RNA (PPAT_LNC002050)". Lineage: Eukaryota; Viridiplantae; Streptophyta; Bryopsida; Funariales; Funariaceae. The record is from RNAcentral.